Mercurialis annua (annual mercury) is the source of this 1554-nucleotide long non-coding RNA. RefSeq lists it as uncharacterized. Lineage: Eukaryota; Viridiplantae; Streptophyta; Magnoliopsida; Malpighiales; Euphorbiaceae. The record is from RefSeq and is a predicted model, not a curated record. The transcript has 2 exons.
GAAAAAAAAAAAGAAUUAAUGAGUUUGUCAUUUUUGUUUUAUCAAUAGAUAAAAUAGAAAGAUAAGUUAAGUAAUUAAGUAAGGGUUUACUAUUUUUUGUCUAGAAAUGUCCAAAUUUUUAUGCCUAAUACCCCAUAAAUACUUCUAACCGUAUAUGAACAAUAAUCAAUUUUAGCUCGAAUGGUUUGUAGAGGAACCCUACCCUCUCUAAUCCACUCGACGCGUGCAAUUUCUUUUCCGUCAAGACGUCCCGCAAUUUGUACUUGAAUUCCUUUUGUAUCUGCCUGUUCAGUUAGUUCAAUAGCUUUUUUCAUUGCUUUCCGAAAUGAAACUCUAUUCUUUAAUUGUCCGGCUAUAAAUUCUGCAAGAAUAUUAGGUUCCCAUAAGGGUUUGAAAUUUUUGUAAUAGCAAUAUUAAGUUUUCGGUUCACGCAAUUAAGUUCUUUUUGUACAUUUAUCUGUAAUUCUUCGAUUCGUUUAGGUUUACUUUCGAUUAAUAAUUUUUGGAAUCCCAUAUAUAUUAUGACUUGAAUCACAUCUAUUCGUUCUUGAAUCUCUAUACGUGCAAUUCCCUCAACACCAGAAGAUAUUUUCUUAUUUUUUUUUACAUAAUUCUUGAUACAGUUUCUUAUUUUUUGAUCUUUUUGUAGACCCCCAGAAUAAUUUUUUGGUUGAGCAAACCAAAGAGAAUGAUGACUUUGGGUUGUACCAAGUCGGAAACCAAGUGGAUUUAUUUUUUGUCCCAUAAUCCCCCACUAUUUACUAUACAUAUCAUGAAAUGUCGUAUCUGUGGAUUUCGUUUUUUUUAUCCAUCCCUUUUUUUUAACCAGAUGUUAUAUUCUUCAUAUUCUUCAUAUAAAGAGAUAUUUUUUAAUACAAUAGUUAUAUGACAGGUCGAUCUUUUUAUCGGAUAACCCCUCCCUCGAGCCUGAGGUUUUAAUUUUUUCACAGUGGUACCUUCGUUGACUUCGGCUUUACUAAUGAUUAAAUUGGCUUCGUUCAAACCCAUAUUGUGGCGAGCGUUUGCUGCUGCAGAAUAAAUCAAUUUAAAAAUAGGAUAACAUGCUCGAUAAGGCAUGAGCUCGAGUAUCAUAAGUGUUUCUUCGUAAGAACGUCCACGAAUCUGAUCAAUUAUUCUUCGUGCUUUGUGAGUGGACAUACAUAUAUAUUGUCCUAAAGCAUAUACUUCCGUAUAUGGAUCUCCCUUUUUCUUUCUUUUAUUUAGCAUAAGUUGAAUUUACCUCUUUUUUUUAAUGUUAAUAAAUUCGAAAUAUCUAAAUAUCUAAUAAAUUACUAUUCACUAUUCAAAUAUUUAGAUUUUCCUUUUAAUUUUAAAAGGAAAUAAAAUGGAAAAUGAAAUUCAAAUUUUCUUUUUUUUUCAUUAAAUAUUAAUUAUUUAGGAAUCCAUACCAUAAGAUUAACGAAUUAACGACGAGAUUUAUUAUCAUUUUUUGCAUGUCCCCGGAAAUUUAGAGUAGGUGCAAAUUCUCCCAAUUUAUGGCCCACCAUACGAUCUGUUAUAUAAAUAGGUAAAUGCUCCUUUCCAUUAUGGAUA